RNAcentral lists this long non-coding RNA (3041 nucleotides) under Homo sapiens (human). RNAcentral describes it as "long non-coding RNA NONHSAT170870.1". The record is from RNAcentral. Lineage: Eukaryota; Metazoa; Chordata; Mammalia; Primates; Hominidae.
GCUGCUCCCCUCCUUUCCUCCCGCCACAAGCGCUCGCUGUGGUUCUGGCAGCGAAGUGCGAGACUGGGCUCGCCAGGCGGAAGUGGUUGGAGACUGCGUGUUUUCCUAGAAAGUCCUCGACCUUCGUCGGGGAGAGGAGGGGAGUGAUAAAUUGGAAGGCGGACAAGCGACAAGUGCGGUACUGGAAAGACCCAAACAUACUUGGUUGUGACCUCAGGUUGACCGUAAACAGAGUACUUUGUGCUUGGUGCUGGGUACACAUGGACUAAGACUGAAUACUGAUUUUUCCAGUGCUUUGGAUCUCUGGCAAUCUAAGACAUUUACAUUAAAUACAAUAGAAAGUAAUAAACUACAUAAGAAAGGUGUAUAGAUUGAGGUUAGAGGGAGAGGAAUAGCUAGUGUGAGGGACAAAACGCAGUUUUGAAUAGUAUUGAGUACUUACAUGUCAGUUGCUGCACUGAGCACCUGCCGUGUGAGCUCAUUUGAAGAAUGUGGGUAUGUGGAAUGAAGAGAAAGGGCGUUCUAGACAGACCAGCACAAGUGUCAAAAGACAAAAAUUUGACACAUCUAAAGAUCUCAGUUGGCCUUAUUGCGAUUCUGGAAUCAGGCAACACUUCAUUCCAUAAAAUGGAAUGAGUGUCCCAAUGAGUGGAACAGAGGAGGUUGGCAUUACGGACAGAAAAAAGGACUCAAUAAAAUAAACAGCUGGAAAUAAGCAGACUAGUGUAAGAGUGAAUUGAAAAGAAAACCCAAGGUCACAUCUCCCAAGAAGCAGUAAUGUUCCAGCAAUAAGAAAAGGACAGUUUUUUGUCUUUUGCAUGGUGAGCCUUAUAUGAAUUACAUCAAUUUUGUCACCAAUAUCCAUCAUCAGAACAUUUUGGGGCACUGUGGCUCGAACCAAUGUCCAGCUUCCACACUAUCUGCUUGGAAGAGGAUUACCCUUAUUUGGAAGUCUCAGUUUUGAGGAUUUGGGGAAAGCAGGCACGCAAGCAGACACACCUUAUUCUCUACAGCAUCAUUUAUACCUCAACUAAGUCAGCUGAACAAAUGCCUGCUGAAAAGUUCUGGGAGUGGCAUAGCUAAGAACCAGAAAGGCGAUCUUUCUUUUGGAUUAAGUCAACAGAGUCAUACCCACAAGGAGAACUAUCAAAUAUCAGAUGCGAGAGGUGAAGUGGGGUUAUAAGGUUCUACAUAACACAUUGCAAAUGGUCACAACAAUCAAGACUAUAUCCAUAGAUGUCCCAGAAAUAAUAUCUGACUAUACAGAGCAGCAUUACCAAGCCACCAAGAAGUCUGCCUAGUAAUGACAAUGAUAACAACAGCUAACACUUAGCAACAGAGCAGAGGAACAGAGCCACAGAUAACUGAAAACCACUUUGGCACUGAGGAGGUAUGCAGACAAGAUCUGGAAGGGAAUCUAGAAAAAUGGCAACUUUGGAUAAUCACUUGCCUUACUGACAGAUUCAGAGGAAGCCAUCAGUUUUUUGGGCAGAAUGAAGGGACAAAUGGUGAACUGGUAUCCGGGAUGCUGCCUAGAACCCUGUCCAUUUAAGAAGACACCCAGGUGAUACGCAAUGCACAAAAAGCACUGGAACUCCCAGCAGGCAAGCACUGCAGUCUAUAAACCCUCUAUUGAGAAAGGCCAUGACAUGUCUACCAGGGACACAGAUUUGGGAGGCAGAACACAAGACAGGGUGAGGGUGAAAAGCAAUGGCUACCUGGCCACGUCAGCCAAAUCAGCUCCAAAAAUCAAUGCGAUGACAGUGGUCACAGGCAGAUCACUCUCACCUUAUAACCUGGGAUGGCACAGACCAGACAGAUUAUUUCAUUUUGUUUUUUCAUUAUUUUUAUUUACUUUUUUGGAGAGAGGGUCUCACUCCAUUGCCCAGGCUGGAGUCCAGUGGUGUGAUCAUAGCUCACUGUAACCUUGAACUCCUGGACUCAAGUGAUAAACCUGCAGCUGUCUUCCCUGAGUAGCUGGGACUACAGGUACACACCACUACACCGGGCCUCUCAUUUUGCUUAAUUUAUUUAAUUAGUCAACUAAUUUUGAGGGAGGGCAGAUUUUGGAAGUAAAGGGCAUAGAUGGUUCUGUAGUAUGCGGAAAUCUGAAGCUUUGCUAAGAUGGGAUCAACAUGAAGCAUCUGUACAUGUACAAAUUAGCAAAUGUUACCAUGACUAACAGUAAAAUGAAGAAUUAAGGAAAUUAUAAGGUUAAUUUCCUUGAAGUCUCUCAGUAGUCAUUUGUGUCUAUAGGUGAUUUUGUAUUUUACAACAUUGUAUUUUCUAAUUUCAUGAAAGGAAAGCUAACCAAAUUCGUGGAUUUUAUUUUUUGCCUCAGCCUCAAAAAGCCUUAGGGCUGAUUCAGGCCUGGUUGUAGCAAUCGGCUGUCUCAAAGGCCUCCUGCAUGUUUAAAUAGCUUCUCUCCUGUUUAUUUUGCACUGUUUUAUCCUGUAAGCUGUCUCGAGGCCCUUCCAAUAUAAGCAUGAGGAUUUAAAUCUUAAUAAAUUGAGAUUUGAAUAUUGUGCCCUUUUGCUUUAAAUCAAUAGAGGCAAAGCCCACAGCAGAUAGUGUCAGUAAUGCAAAUCCAUUUCCUAUUGUAAUUCACUUUUCAGAACAAAACCUUUUCCAUCAGCAAAGCAUUUUAGAACCUCAAGCUACACUGUUCCCACCUGCAACUGUCUAAGGUAUUGGAGGUCAAGGACAGUCCAAGGCCAAGUCAAGGACCAUCAGGACACAGAGGAGUAACUUCUGAGGCAGCCCCCGGUGGGACUUUGCUUAAAGAGGCUUUAAGGAAGAACUUAAAAUGGAGAAAGCCAACUUUUGAACGUGGUGAUCAGGGAUUUGAUUUAGGACAAAUUGUUAUUUGGAUGGAUGCUUGUCUAUUGAGAGAGUAAUUGUUAAACUAAAGGAAACUGGUCACAAAUACUUUAGCAGUGGCUAUAAAUGACCAGUGGGCCAAGGAUUUUGAGAUCGUGAGAGACUUCUCCGGGAAUGUUGUCAUUCAUUUCACUCCAGUGUGGCUCUUUUCCUCCAUCUGC